GAUGAACGCUGGCGGCGUGCCUAAUACAUGCAAGUCGAGCGAACGGACGAGAAGCUUGCUUCUCUGAUGUUAGCGGCGGACGGGUGAGUGACACGUGGAUAACCUACCUAUAAGACUGGGAUAACUUCGGGAAACCGGAGCUAAUACCGGAUAAUAUUUUGAACCGCAUGGUUCAAAAGUGAAAGACGGUCUUGCUGUCACUUAUAGAUGGAUCCGCGCUGCAUUAGCUAGUUGGUAAGGUAACGGCUUACCAAGGCAACGAUGCAUAGCAGACCUGAGAGGGUGAUCGGCCACACUGGAACUGAGACACGGUCCAGACUCCUACGGGAGGCAGCAGUAGGGAAUCUUCCGCAAAGGGCGAAAGCCUGACGGAGCAACGCCGCGUGAGUGAUGAAGGUCUUCGGAUCGUAAAACUCUGUUAUUAGGGAAGAACAUAUGUGUAAGUAACUGUGCACAUCUUGACGGUACCUAAUCAGAAAGCCACGGCUAACUACGUG
This 497-nucleotide ribosomal RNA is filed under the name uncultured bacterium. Its description in RNAcentral is "partial 16S ribosomal RNA". It matches the Rfam family "Bacterial small subunit ribosomal RNA", at positions 28 to 507 of the family's 1533-position model. The record is from RNAcentral.